CCUUAAGGAGAUCAUUCUGAUCUGGCAGCGGGAUGGGGAGGAUCAGACUCAGGAGAUGGAACUUGUGGAGACCAGGCCUGCAGGGGAUGGAACCUUCCAGAAGUGGGCAGCAUGGUGGUGCCUGCUGGAGAGGAGCAGAGAUACACAUGCCAUGAGCACCAUGAGGGGCUGCCUGAGCCCCUCACCCUGAGAUGGGAGCCACCUUCUCAGUCCACCAUCCCUGUCAUGGGAAUUGUUGUUGGCCUGGUUCUCCUUAUAGCUGUAGUCACUGGAGCUGUGGUGUCUGUUAUGAUGCAGAGGAGGAAUGCAGAUAGAAGAGGAGUUAUCUAGGCUCCAAGUAAGUAUUGGGGGAGAAUGUUGUCUCUGGAACUUUUGGGAUAGUGUGUAUAGGAGCCCAUGGGGGAACUCA
This 409-nucleotide long non-coding RNA is filed under the name Ictidomys tridecemlineatus (thirteen-lined ground squirrel). RNAcentral's name for it is "lncRNA (ENSSTOG00000030447.1)". The record is from RNAcentral. Lineage: Eukaryota; Metazoa; Chordata; Mammalia; Rodentia; Sciuridae.